CCUAAUACAUGCAAGUUGAGCGAUGAAGAUUGGUGCUUGCACCAAUUUGAAGAGCAGCGAACGGGUGAGUAACGCGUGGGGAAUCUGCCUUUGAGCGGGGGACAACAUUUGGAAACGAAUGCUAAUACCGCAUAACAACUUUAAACAUAAGUUUUAAGUUUGAAAGAUGCAAUUGCAUCACUCAAAGAUGAUCCCGCGUUGUAUUAGCUAGUUGGUGAGGUAAAGGCUCACCAAGGCGAUGAUACAUAGCCGACCUGAGAGGGUGAUCGGCCACAUUGGGACUGAGACACGGCCCAAACUCCUACGGGAGGCAGCAGUAGGGAAUCUUCGGCAAUGGACGAAAGUCUGACCGAGCAACGCCGCGUGAGUGAAGAAGGUUUUCGGAUCGUAAAACUCUGUUGGUAGAGAAGAACGUUGGUGAGAGUGGAAAGCUCAUCAAGUGACGGUAACUACCCAGAAAGGGACGGCUAACUACGUGCCAGCAGCCGCGGUAAUACGUAGGUCCCGAGCGUUGUCCGGAUUUAUUGGGCGUAAAGCGAGCGCAGGUGGUUUAUUAAGUCUGGUGUAAAAGGCAGUGGCUCAACCAUUGUAUGCAUUGGAAACUGGUAGACUUGAGUGCAGGAGAGGAGAGUGGAAUUCCAUGUGUAGCGGUGAAAUGCGUAGAUAUAUGGAGGAACACCGGUGGCGAAAGCGGCUCUCUGGCCUGUAACUGACACUGAGGCUCG
Molecule: ribosomal RNA, 725 nt
Filed under: Lactococcus lactis
Lineage: Bacteria; Bacillati; Bacillota; Bacilli; Lactobacillales; Streptococcaceae
Description: bacterial SSU rRNA
Rfam family: Bacterial small subunit ribosomal RNA
Source: RNAcentral